AUUGCUUUUAAGUUUUAAGAAACGUCUUUUUCCCUUUAAAUUAAUUCCUUGAAACAGAACAAUGAUUGAUCAAAAUGUGCCUUAAAAAAUUGCUACACAUAAUUCUAUCAUCUAAAAAGAAGGCAAAAGAUUAAACAGAGUAUUUGAUAUAUAUGUUGCUUUUAAUCACAUGUCUAGUGUCCUAAUCUGACAAUGGCAACUCGGGUUUCCUCACGGGUCGAGAUAUUGAUUGAAACUAAUAACGUUGUCCAAUUUUAUGUUGAAUUAUUGAUAGGAAAAAUAUCUUAUUAAUCCCUGUUCCGAAAUAGUUGUCACGUUUGUUCUCGAAAGUCAAUUUGACUAAGUUUUGGAGUUAAAUUAGAUUAGAUUAAUUCAAUAUUGUAAAAUUAAAUUUGAAUAUUCAAAAACCAUAUCAAAGUACUAUAAGUUGCAAUUGUACUCAUCUCAAUAUAUUUAAAAAAACAUAAUCUUAAAAUAUUACUCAAAGUUUAUGUAAUUUGAUUAUCGAGAAGCGAAACAUGACAAAUAUUUUAGAAACCAAGGGAGAAUAUGUUAGUAUUUAAAAGGAAGGGAGGUUCUUUGCCUCACGACAGGGAAAUAUUUUGGCUCAUCCUUCACGAGAUGUCUAACUAGGCCCUAGAAAGGGACAGUUAUUCUGGUCUAUUUGUCUUAAAAAAUAAUGUAGGUUGGUGGACUAUAUAUUGGCUCGUACUAGUGCCGUAUAA
Lycium ferocissimum is the source of this 725-nucleotide long non-coding RNA. RefSeq lists it as uncharacterized. The transcript is spliced from 2 exons. The record is from RefSeq and is a predicted model, not a curated record. Lineage: Eukaryota; Viridiplantae; Streptophyta; Magnoliopsida; Solanales; Solanaceae.